AUAUAUAUAUGUAUAUAUAUAAAUUGAUGAUGAUGACGUAUAUUAAUAUAGCUUAAGUUCAAAUGAAACUUUGUUGCCGUAAAGCACGUGCGUCCGACGUUUUAGAAACGUCUAUGUGUGAGUGUGUGUGUGUGAAG
This is a long non-coding RNA of Drosophila arizonae, 137 nucleotides long. The record is from RefSeq and is a predicted model, not a curated record. NCBI's taxonomy places the organism in Eukaryota, Metazoa, Arthropoda, Insecta, Diptera, Drosophilidae.